Molecule: unclassified non-coding RNA, 310 nt
Filed under: Hevea brasiliensis (rubber tree)
Lineage: Eukaryota; Viridiplantae; Streptophyta; Magnoliopsida; Malpighiales; Euphorbiaceae
Source: RNAcentral
AAUUGCCGCCGGUACCGUUUUUGUCGUUGCCUCGUCGUUCAAUAAUCCGCUGUACCACCGGCUUCCCGAUGAGGAAGAGAUUAAGAAUUUGGGAUCCGGUGGCGGCAGUGGCGGUGGCGAAGUUCAUUCCCCACACGUCUCUGGCGGUGGAGAUAGUAGCGGGCACGGGCAGGGGCAGAGUCAAGGGCACGGGCAGCUGGUGGAAUCGUGUGGAAUGGCUAUGUAUAGUUGCCACGCUCCGUCCGACGUAAUAUGGGCGCCGACGGCGAGACAACCGCCGCCGCCGCCGUACUAAUCCAUAACUUUCUAU